RNAcentral lists this transfer RNA (359 nucleotides) under uncultured Microcystis sp. Its description in RNAcentral is "partial 16S-23S ribosomal RNA intergenic spacer". The stretch from base 135 to 208 matches the Rfam family "tRNA". The record is from RNAcentral. Lineage: Bacteria; Bacillati; Cyanobacteriota; Cyanophyceae; Chroococcales; Microcystaceae.
AAGGGAGACCUAAUUCAGGUAGGAGACGAAAAAAAAGUAGCCCCAACCAAGAAUCAAUCCCAAAAGGUCGGAGCGAGGCGAAAUUGGCUUUCAAACUAGGUUCUGGGUUCACACAAGACCUGAAUCAGGAACAAGGGCUAUUAGCUCAGGUGGUUAGAGCGCACCCCUGAUAAGGGUGAGGUCCCUGGUUCGAGUCCAGGAUGGCCCACCUGCACAGGUGGCAAAAACAAGAGAAGCUCCGAAUCAGCACCUUAUCUUACUUACAUAGUAAGAGAGAAUGCUGGCUCUGAGUAAAGAGUCCAGAGGAACCUUGAAAACUGCAUAGAGCUAGGUGAAAAAGCCAAAAAAGAAGACCGCAA